GUCAUAUGCUUGUCUCAAAGAUUAAGCCAUGCAUGUCUCAGUACAAGCCAAAUUAAGGUGAAACCGCGAAAGGCUCAUUAAAUCAGUUAUGGUUCCUUAGAUCGUACCCACAAUUACUUGGAUAACUGUGGUAAUUCUAGAGCUAAUACAUGCAAACAGAGCUCCGACCGGAGACGGGAGGAGUGCUUUUAUUAGAUCAAAACCAAUCGGUGGCGGGUUCAACGCUCGUUAUCGUACAACUUGGUGACUCUGAAUAACUUUACGCUGAUCGCACGGUCAUCGCACCGGCGACGCAUCUUUCAAAUGUCUGCCUUAUCAACUGUCGAUGGUAGGUUCUGCGCCUACCAUGGUUGUAACGGGUAACGGGGAAUCAGGGUUCGAUUCCGGAGAGGGAGCCUGAGAAACGGCUACCACAUCCAAGGAAGGCAGCAGGCGCGCAAAUUACCCACUCCCGGCACGGGGAGGUAGUGACGAAAAAUAACGAUACGGGACUCAUCCGAGGCCCCGUAAUCGGAAUGAGUACACUCUAAACCCUUUAACGAGGAUCAAUUGGAGGGCAAGUCUGGUGCCAGCAGCCGCGG
RNAcentral lists this ribosomal RNA (581 nucleotides) under Trigonopterus sp. 452 AR-2020. RNAcentral describes it as "SSU rRNA". It matches the Rfam family "Eukaryotic small subunit ribosomal RNA", at positions 23 to 579 of the family's 1831-position model. Lineage: Eukaryota; Metazoa; Arthropoda; Insecta; Coleoptera; Curculionidae. The record is from RNAcentral.